CAAAACCCAGACAGAAACGUCCAACAAACUCCCAGUCCAGGAGCGCUGCAAAACCAACGCCAGUCUAGUUUGGGGUCUCUAUAAUCCUGCUCCUUUGGCUGCCAGCCAUCUCCAUAAAAAAAGAAUUUGAAAGGCUUCCAUUCUUUCAGAGACCUGUUUCCCGGGACUGGCUGCAAGGGAGAGACGCACUGACCCUCUGCCAGGUAUAGAACUAUUGAAUGGUAGAGUUUGAGAUCUUCGAAACCAUCAAGACUGAUCAUUUUCUGGCUACUUUCUACAUAGGAAUCCUAGAGUUCCUUGGAGAGGAUAUGAAGGUUAUUUUCAGGCCAUGCAGAUGGGCAGGAAAGGAUGUGCGUCCAUGGUUCCUCUUCAAAUUCAACCAAAACAGCCUUGCUUCCGUUGGCUUUAUAUAAUACUGCAACUCUUGAUAAUUAAUCUGAUUUAACACAAAUUUCCUCAUUGAGUUUCUCCUCAUGAAGAAACGGCCUUAGUGAGGUAAAUCGGAAUGCACAGGAGCACAUAGCAGGUUAGUGCAGACCAGAAAUCAAACCCAGGCUUUCUGACUGCUCAAUAGACCACAAUCUACCAUGCUACCAUGGAAACUUUAAAACAGAUGAAAGUAAAAACAAACAAACAACAACUUAAAAAAACAAAAACAAA
RNAcentral lists this non-coding RNA (660 nucleotides) under Pan troglodytes (chimpanzee). Lineage: Eukaryota; Metazoa; Chordata; Mammalia; Primates; Hominidae. The record is from RNAcentral.